Molecule: long non-coding RNA, 1337 nt
Organism: Armigeres subalbatus
Lineage: Eukaryota; Metazoa; Arthropoda; Insecta; Diptera; Culicidae
Exons: 3
Source: RefSeq, a predicted model, not a curated record
GGAAGAGGCAGGAGUGGCCCAAAGUUCUCGCGCCGUGGUGUCUUGUAUAAGUUUGUAGAACAAGUCAUUGUGUGUGCGAUUGUUGAUAGGCGGUGUGUUAUCGUGUGUGGCUUCGUGCAAUUAAAGGUUUUUUUGCCAAGCCGUUCAACCGUCCGUGGCACCACAACCGGACUCCCAGUGGCCAUUUCUGACCCCACCAUCAGGCUCAGAAGUUCUCCCGGGGCACGCCGGAAGAGGGACGCUUCCGUUUUCUACGCUCCCUAGGCAGGACGAAUCAGCAAGCGCAAUCGCAUUUCCGUUCCCCUAGUGACGACUAGGGAAACCUCGACGCACGUGUCGCGUCGCGCGCAAAGAAAGUAAGUUAUUCCGAUGAACGAGUAAACCGACCGCCAAGCAGCAGCAGAAAGGCAAUCCGCCUACCCCCGGCGGCAACAGAGCUUCAUCGCCGAACGAGAGAGCCGCAGGGAAUUCACCGCCACCCCCUUUCCGUUCAUCCGGCGGCGUCAUCGUCACCAUGUAAAGGUCUGUGAGUACCCACCACCUAUUAUAUUCAUGCGCAUGACGACAAGUUAAUUCACGCCGCAACAUAGCUUCCGUUGCGUGGCGUGCACGGCCGUUUUUAUAAGACCGUGAAUUGAACAUUCCGUGAAUCGAAAACCCGUUGCGUUCGCAGGGCGAACGAGAGAUUCAAUAGCACGUUGUUCGUAAAGCACACCUAAGCCAAGCACACACACGAUAGGUAGACAGGGACCAUAGCAUGGGAAAGGUUGAGUGAGAAUAGGAAGAGAAGAGCGAAGAGAAAUGAACACUGAUGUAGAAAGAUAGAUGUAAGAAAUAAAGCUCAAUGUGACUGGAUAAAAGCUCAUUUGUUCCGUGCGUAUACAGAAACAUUUCAGUCGUAGAGUAUGAGAAAUGAGGAAGCGGACAGAUAGAUUCCUGCAAUAAAUGUUGGUCCCAAUUAAGUGAAAUGAGUUGAGUGUUUUUCAUGUCACACGUGUCCCGUUUGUAGUUUUUUGUUGUAGAAAUUGUUUUACUGGGGAGGUUGGCUCCGAAACCAACCGGGCAACUUUUUAAUCGGAUACGGGUCGGUUCGAUUGGGAAUUUCGGGAUACUUGCCGGUGAUGAUAAAACCCCCUUUAUAUAAUUCCUCACUGGCCGUUAAUUGCAAUCGUGUUCUAGGUAAUUGUAUUCACAAAACGCAUUAGUAGCGUUUCUUUUUGCGGACAGUUUCAGUCAGCCAUCUAACUUCCCGGACCAAAUUUAAAAACUGAGCCUUCUUCCCCUGAAAGGUCUCAACGGUCGGGCAACCCAAAUAUUGGUGGAUGGUCUCCCUCGGG